Molecule: ribosomal RNA, 252 nt
Filed under: uncultured bacterium
Lineage: Bacteria
Description: partial 16S ribosomal RNA
Rfam family: Bacterial small subunit ribosomal RNA
Source: RNAcentral
UACGUAGGGGGCAAGCGUUGUCCGGAUUUAUUGGGCGUAAAGAGCGUGUAGGCGGCUAGAUAGGUCCGUUGUGAAAACUCGAGCUCAACCUCGAGACGCCGGUGGAAACCAUCUAGCUAGAGUCCGGAAGAGGAGAGUGGAAUUCCUGGUGUAGCGGUGAAAUGCGCAGAUAUCAGGAAGAACACCCGUGGCGAAGGCGGCUCUCUGGGACGUGACUGACGCUGAGACGCGAAAGCGUGGGGAGCGAACAGG